UCUAAUAUGGCAGAAUAGUGCCAUGGAUUUAAGCUUCAUAAAUAAAGAAUAAUCUUUUAUUAGAA
Molecule: transfer RNA, 65 nt
Filed under: Protochauliodes humeralis
Lineage: Eukaryota; Metazoa; Arthropoda; Insecta; Megaloptera; Corydalidae
Description: tRNA-Leu
Source: RNAcentral